UCUAACUGAAAAUAAAUAAAAAAAUACAAAGGACUUGAAUGGCCAUUUCUCUAAAGAGGAUAACAGAUGGCCGAUAAGUACAUGAAAAGAUGUUCAACAUCACUAAUUAGGGAAAUGCAAGCCAAAACCGCAAGUCAAAACUUCGUACACAUUAGGAUGGCCAUUACUUAAAAUGUAACAUAACAACACAAAACAUCAAAUAGACAAAUGUUGGUGGGAAGGUGGAGAAAUUGGAACUCUUGUGUACUGCUGCUGGGAAUAUAAAAUGUAUCAUCGCUAUAGACAUCAGUAUGUAUCGCGGUUCGUCAAAAAAUUAAAAAUAGAAUCACCAUACAAUCCAGCAAUUCUGCUCGAAUAUAUACCCGAAAGAGUUGAAAGCCAGGUAUUUGUACAUUCAUGCUCACAGCACCAUUAUUCACAGCAGGCAAAAGCUGGAAGCAACCCGAGCACCCACUGACAGGUAAAUGGAUACAAAAACUAAGGCAUAGGGGCGCCUGGGUGGCUCAGUCGGUUAAGCGGCCGACUUCGGCUCAGGUCAUGAUCUCGCGCUCCGUGAGUUCGAGCCCCGCGUCGGGCUCUCUGCUGACAGCUCGGAGCCUGGAGCCCGUUUCAGAUUCUGUGUCUCCCUCUCUCUGACCUUCCCCAGUUCAUGCUCUGUCUCUCCCUGUCUCAAAAAUAACUAAACGUUAAAAGACAAAAAAAAAAAAAAACAAAAAAAAAACUAAGGCAUAUAUAUGUAUACAACGGCAUAUUGAAUAUUAUUCAUCCUUAAAAAAGAAUGACAUUUUGACACGCCUACAACAUGUCUGAACCUUGAUGACAUUACGCUAAGGGGGAGAGAAAAACAGACACGAAAGGACAGAUGCUUAUGAUUUCACUUGGACGAGGUACCUAGGACUUUACAUACACUAGUAAUCAAAUGGACAGAGACAGAAAGUAGAAUGGUGGUUGCCAGGGGCUGGUGGGGUAGGGGGAGAUGGAGAAUUAUUAUUUAAUGGGUAUGGAGUUUCAGUGUGGGGAUAUGAGAAAAGUUCUGGAGACGGAUGGCGGUGAUGGUUGCACAGGAAUGUACUUACUGCCCCUGAACUGUAAACUUUAAGAUGGCCAAAAAUAUAUAUAUAUUUUAUAUCCAAGUAUAUGCUGGUUGCAGGAGACUCACUUUAUUUAUUUAUUUUAAUGUUUAUUUAUUUUUGAGAGAGACAGAGACAGAGGCAGAGCUCGAGAGGCAAAGGGCCAGAGAGAGAGAGGGAGACACAGAAUCGGAAGCGGGCCCCAGGCUCCGAGCCGUCGGCCCAGAGCCCGACGCGGGACUCGAACUCACGGACCGCGAGAUCGUGACCUGAGCCGAAGUCGGCCGCUCAACCGACUGAGCCACCCAGGCGCCCCCAGGAGACUCACUUUAGACCCAAAGGCACAAAUACGUUGUAAGCAAAGGGAUGGAAAAACAUAUUCUGUGCAAAGAGCCACCCAAAAGACAGCCAGGGUGGCUAUGCUAAUUCUAGACCAAAUAGAUUUGAAAUAAAAAACUGUUACAAGCGACAAAGGAGGACACUAUAUAUUGAUUUAAGUGUCAAUUCGUGAAGAAGCUGUAACAAUUCUAUAUGUCCCAAACAACAGAAUCUCAAAAUAUAUGAAGCAAACAAUGACAGAAGUGAAGGGAGAAAUAGACACGUCUACAAUAAUAGUUGGAGACUUCAGUGCCCUACUUUCUUUUUUAUUAUUUUUUAAAGUUUAUUUGCUUUGAGAGAGAGAGAAAGCGCAAGUCGGG
Molecule: long non-coding RNA, 1768 nt
Filed under: Lynx pardinus (Iberian lynx)
Lineage: Eukaryota; Metazoa; Chordata; Mammalia; Carnivora; Felidae
Source: RNAcentral